GACGAACGCUGGCGGCGUGCUUAACACAUGCAAGUCGAACGGGCUCUGUCUGGCUGUGUGCUGGGUGGGGUUAGUGGCGACCGGGUGAGUAAUACGUGAGUAACCUGCCCUCUUCUUUGGGUUAAGCCUUGGAAACGGGGUCUAAUACUGGAUAUUCCUGUCUGGUCGCAUGGCUGGGUGGGGAAAGUUUUUUUCGGUGGGGGAUGGGCUCGCGGCCUAUCAGCUUGUUGGUGGGGUGAUGGCCUACCAAGGCGUCGACGGGUAGCCGGCCUGAGAGGGUGACCGGCCACACUGGGACUGAGAUACGGCCCAGACUCCUACGGGAGGCAGCAGUGGGGGAUAUUGCACAAUGGGCGCAAGCCUGAUGCAGCGACGCCGCGUGGGGGAUGACGGCUUUCGGGUUGUAAACCUCUUUCGUCGGGGGACAAGGCUCUGCUUGGUGGUGGGGUUGAGGGUACCCGGUGAAGAAGCGCCGGCUAACUACGUG
Molecule: ribosomal RNA, 487 nt
Filed under: uncultured bacterium
Lineage: Bacteria
Description: partial 16S ribosomal RNA
Rfam family: Bacterial small subunit ribosomal RNA
Source: RNAcentral